CCAGCACCCCGAGUGGUCGGGACGAUUAUUGGGCCUAAAGCAUCCGUAGCCGGUUCUACAAGUCUUCCGUUAAAUCCACCUGCUCAACAGAUGGGCUGCGGAGGAUACUAUAGAGCUAGGAGGCGGGAGAGGCAAGCGGUACUCAGUGGGUAGGGGUAAAAUCCGUUGAUCCAUUGAAGACCACCAGUGGCGAAGGCGGCUUGCCAGAACGCACUCGACGGUGAGGGAUGAAAGCUGGGGGAGCAAACCGGAUU
Molecule: ribosomal RNA, 254 nt
Filed under: uncultured bacterium
Lineage: Bacteria
Description: partial 16S ribosomal RNA
Rfam family: Archaeal small subunit ribosomal RNA
Source: RNAcentral